Molecule: long non-coding RNA, 1608 nt
Organism: Pogoniulus pusillus (Red-fronted tinkerbird)
Lineage: Eukaryota; Metazoa; Chordata; Aves; Piciformes; Lybiidae
Exons: 2
Source: RefSeq, a predicted model, not a curated record
ACGCUUCCCCCAUUGGGCGGUGACCACUUUCACCCCGCCCGGGCUGCCUUCUAGCGCGCCCUCAUUGGAUGACGUUCAGGCUGGACCCACCCGCUCCUCCUCCCGCCUUCCCCACAUUCCCCCCCCACCCUGCGGCCCCAGAUCCUAGAGCUGGGGAAUGAGGCAACGGAGGCGAGGAGCAGCUUGGGCCCCACAUCAGCCGACACCUCCCCAACGCUCUUCUCCUCUCCUCUCUCCCCUCCCCCUUCCCGCCCAGUGCCACUUCGAACACGGAGCGAAGCGGCCGCGGCGCUACAAGAUCGGAGGGACUGGGUCUCGGCGGCCUGGGGGAGACAUCUGCUUCUGUGAGACAUUGGAAGUGGAAAGAGAGAGAGCCCCAAGAAAGGCACAGCCACAACAGGGCGACGACGAGGAGAGCCGCCAAAAGGGCCUCGCGUCCGCGGCAGCGAGAGCCUCCUCUUCCCCCGCUUGUUCCCCCGAGGGGCGCGGGGAUCCGGGACGGGAAGCAGCUCAGCUCACUGUCGCCCUGACGCCACGGCAGGGCUCUCGGCCUCGUCCCGGCAGCCAGGCCCUCUCUCGUGCCCCGGUGCCCUGUGGUGCGGAGCCGUGACUGACCUGGUCCGCGGGGCUGCUGCUACCGGGCGAAAAGGAUGGCAAGUACGCGGGAGGUCGUUGCCUUGGCACUGGCAGCCCCUAGGAAUAACCGAAGAGCAGGAUUCCUACUAUGUCACGCACUGCCCUGCCUUGCCUUGCCCAGGGUGCGAAGGCGACUCUGGGAGCAGUGUAUUCCGCUGUUAGAGAUGCCUUGAAGCUGUGGCGAUUGAGAGAAUGAUUUAACUCCAUGGGUGGGAUUGUGUCAACUGCUUGGUGUUGAGCCUGGAAAGCCUUGGGCCGCACAUAAUGGUGCCAGUGAUGUGGGAAAGUUUAGGAAAGAGGUUCUAGAGACUUGAUACAGGUUAUUCGGAGUGCCAACUUAGGGCUUCUACGGUUUCUUUAGACCCACUUUAGCAGGACCAGUCCUCGUGUCAACAAAGGGGCUGCCGUGUGAAGGCAAAACUCCCCUUCGGCAAGGCAAAGUUCCUACGAGUGACAGAAGAGAUUGCAGCAGUAGCACCCCUUUUUGGUGUGUUUUGAAACGAAAAAUUCACUAUCAUUUACUCCUGCCUAAAUCGCUACUAGGUAGCAAAGGUUCCGUGUUGCUAGUCCAGGCCCAUUACUACUAGACACAGUGCAGCCCUGUAACAUGACCCUAAAAGCCAAAGCAUUUCUCGUAUUUAUUAAAAAUAGUUACAUUUUUAUCAUAUGAGAAGAGCUAAUUAUUCUAGUCCACUCAAAAAAAUAACUAAACUGUUACAAGAUUGGUUUUCAAGAGCUACAGAUGUUUUACUUAGCCCCAAGAGUUUGCAAGGCAUUAUUUUUUUCAGUGAAAAGUUCAUUAUUCAAUAUUGUGAUAAAAUACUAUCAAUACAGCAUACAUCACAUGGAUUAGAGCCAUUCAGCUGCGCUACCUGAAUAACAAAUGGACAAUGAGAAGCAGCCAUCUACUGGGCAUCAAUGUUUGAACUGAUACUAUGCUAUUUUUAAAUAGAUCUGUGAAGUAAAUGACAA